This 499-nucleotide ribosomal RNA is filed under the name uncultured Glomeromycotina. Its description in RNAcentral is "partial small subunit ribosomal RNA". It matches the Rfam family "Eukaryotic small subunit ribosomal RNA", at positions 591 to 1092 of the family's 1831-position model. Lineage: Eukaryota; Fungi; Glomeromycota. The record is from RNAcentral.
CCAAUAGCGUAUAUUAAAGUUGUUGCAGUUAAAAAGCUCGUAGUUGAAUUUCGGGAUCAAAUUGUCGGUCGUGCCUCGGUACGUACUGGCGUUAUUGGUUCCUACCUUCUGAGGAACCACGAUGUCAUUAAUUUGGUGUCGCGGGGAAUCAGGACUGUUACUUUGAAAAAAUUAGAGUGUUUAAAGCAGGCUCGCGCUUGAAUACAUUAGCAUGGAAUAAUGAAAUAAGACGUUUGAUUCUAUUUUGUUGGUUUCUAGGAUCGACGUAAUGAUUAAUAGGGAUAGUUGGGGGCAUUAGUAUUCAAUUGUCAGAGGUGAAAUUCUUGGAUUUAUUGAAGACUAACUACUGCGAAAGCAUUUGCCAAGGAUGUUUUCAUUAAUCAAGAACGAAAGUUAGGGGAUCGAAGACGAUCAGAUACCGUCGUAGUCUUAACCAUAAACUAUGCCGACUAGGGAUCGGAUGAUGUUAAUUUUUUAAUGACUCAUUCGGCGCCUUACG